GACGAACGCUGGCGGCGUGCUUAACACAUGCAAGUCGAGCGAUGAAGUUCCUUCGGGAAUGGAUUAGCGGCGGACGGGUGAGUAACACGUGGGUAACCUGCCUCAUAGAGGGGAAUAGCCUUUCGAAAGAAAGAUUAAUACCGCAUAAGAUUGUAGUAUCGCAUGAUACAGCAAUUAAAGGAGGAAUCCGCUAUGAGAUGGACCCGCGUCGCAUUAGCUAGUUGGUGAGGUGACGGCUCACCAAGGCGACGAUGCGUAGCCGACCUGAGAGGGAGAUCGGCCACAUUGGGACUGAGACACGGCCCAGACUCCUACGGGAGGCAGCAGUGGGGAAUAUUGCACAAUGGGGGAAACCCUGAUGCAGCAACGCCGCGUGAGUGAUGACGGUCUUCGGAUUGUAAAACUCUGUCUUCAGGGACGAUAAUGACGGUACCUGAGGAGGAAGCCACGGCUAACUACGUGCCAGCCGCCGCCGUAA
Molecule: ribosomal RNA, 478 nt
Filed under: uncultured bacterium
Lineage: Bacteria
Description: partial 16S ribosomal RNA
Rfam family: Bacterial small subunit ribosomal RNA
Source: RNAcentral